Molecule: ribosomal RNA, 847 nt
Filed under: Microbacterium sp.
Lineage: Bacteria; Bacillati; Actinomycetota; Actinomycetes; Micrococcales; Microbacteriaceae
Description: bacterial SSU rRNA
Rfam family: Bacterial small subunit ribosomal RNA
Source: RNAcentral
AGAGUUUGAAUCUGGCUCAGGAUGAACGCUGGUNGUGUGCUUAACACAUGCAAGUCGAACGGUGAACACGGAGCUUGCUCUGUGGGAUCAGUGGCGAACGGGUGAGUAACACGUGAGCAACCUGCCCCUGACUCUGGGAUAAGCGCUGGAAACGGCGUCUAAUACUGGAUAUGUGACGUGAUCGCAUGGUCUGCGUCUGGAAAGAAUUUCGGUUGGGGAUGGGCUCGCGGCCUAUCAGCUUGUUGGUGAGGUAAUGGCUCACCAAGGCGUCGACGGGUAGCCGGCCUGAGAGGGUGACCGGCCACACUGGGACUGAGACACGGCCCAGACUCCUACGGGAGGCAGCAGUGGGGAAUAUUGCACAAUGGGCGCAAGCCUGAUGCAGCAACGCCGCGUGAGGGAUGACGGCCUUCGGGUUGUAAACCUCUUUUAGCAGGGAAGAAGCGAAAGUGACGGUACCUGCAGAAAAAGCGCCGGCUAACUACGUGCCAGCAGCCGCGGUAAUACGUAGGGCGCAAGCGUUAUCCGGAAUUAUUGGGCGUAAAGAGCUCGUAGGCGGUUUGUCGCGUCUGCUGUGAAAUCCGGAGGCUCAACCUCCGGCCUGCAGUGGGUACGGGCAGACUAGAGUGCGGUAGGGGAGAUUGGAAUUCCUGGUGUAGCGGUGGAAUGCGCAGAUAUCAGGAGGAACACCGAUGGCGAAGGCAGAUCUCUGGGCCGUAACUGACGCUGAGGAGCGAAAGGGUGGGGAGCAAACAGGCUUAGAUACCCUGGUAGUCCACCCCGUAAACGUUGGGAACUAGUUGUGGGGUCCAUUCCACGGAUUCCGUGACGCAGCUAACGCAUAAGU